AACGAACGCUGGCGGCAGGCUUAACACAUGCAAGUCGAACGGGUGUAGCAAUACAUCAGUGGCAGACGGGUGAGUAACACGUGGGAACCCUCCUAGAGGUACGGAACAACUCAGGGAAACUUGAGCUAAUACCGUAUACGCUCGUGAGAGGAAAGAUUUAUCGCCUUUAGACGGGCCCACGUCGGAUUAGCUAGUUGGUGGGGUAAUGGCCCACCAAGGCGACGAUCCGUAACUGGUCUGAGAGGAUGAUCAGUCACACUGGAACUGAGACACGGUCCAGACUCCUACGGGAGGCAGCAGUGGGGAAUAUUGGACAAUGGGCGAAAGCCUGAUCCAGCCAUGCCGCGUGUGUGAAGAAGGUCUUCGGAUUGUAAAGCACCUUAAGUCGGGAGGAAGGGCUGUAGGCUAAUACCUUGCAGUUUUGACGUUACCGACAGAAUAAGCACCGGCUAACUUCGUGCCAGCCGCCGCCGUAA
This 476-nucleotide ribosomal RNA is filed under the name uncultured bacterium. Its description in RNAcentral is "partial 16S ribosomal RNA". It matches the Rfam family "Bacterial small subunit ribosomal RNA", at positions 29 to 523 of the family's 1533-position model. The record is from RNAcentral.